RNAcentral lists this ribosomal RNA (447 nucleotides) under uncultured Glomus. RNAcentral describes it as "SSU rRNA". It matches the Rfam family "Eukaryotic small subunit ribosomal RNA", at positions 569 to 1023 of the family's 1831-position model. Lineage: Eukaryota; Fungi; Glomeromycota; Glomeromycetes; Glomerales; Glomeraceae. The record is from RNAcentral.
AGCAGCCGCGGUAAUUCCAGCUCCAAUAGCGUAUAUUAAAGUUGUUGCAGUUAAAAAGCUCGUAGUUGAAUUUCGGGAUCAAUAUGUUGGUCGUGCCUUGGUACGUACUAUCUUAUUGGUUUCUCCCUUCUGACGAACCAUGAUGUCAUUAAUUUGGUGUCAUGGGGAAUCAGGAUUGUUACUUUGAAAAAUUAGAGUGUUUAAAGCAGGCUCACGCUUGAAUACAUUAGCAUGGAAUAAUGAAAUAGGACGUUUGAUUCUAUUUUGUUGGUUUCUAGGAUCGAUGUAAUGAUUAAUAGGGAUAGUUGGGGGCAUUAGUAUUCAAUUGUCAGAGGUGAAAUUCUUGGAUUUAUUGAAGACUAACUACUGCGAAAGCAUUUGCCAAGGAUGUUUUCAUUAAUCAAGAACGAAAGUUAGGGGAUCGAAGACGAUCAGAUACCGUCGUAG